AUGCUUCCAAUGAGUGUCAAACUUUUAGUUAACUUACCUCCUCCAUCUCCAUUGUCAUUUGGAAUCAUGAGAAUUCAUAAAGCUAUAAUAUUAAUCAUUAUUGUCCUUUUCUUAAUUCUAAUAGUACUCCAUCUUUCAAGUUCUAGGCAUAUUUCUUUAGGUGGUAAAGAAGAGAUGAUGGAAGAAAGAAGAAGAACAAAUCUCCCAUUUUCCUAUCCACAAACCUUUGAAGAAUUCAAAAACAAAAAGGUGAGUAGAUUUCAAAUUGUUUCACAUACAUCUACUCCAGGUGGACCCAAUCCACUUCAUAACUAA
Non-coding RNA from Vicia faba (fava bean), 315 nucleotides. NCBI's taxonomy places the organism in Eukaryota, Viridiplantae, Streptophyta, Magnoliopsida, Fabales, Fabaceae. The record is from the annotation of a GenBank genome assembly.